This 701-nucleotide long non-coding RNA is filed under the name Junco hyemalis (dark-eyed junco). Its description in RNAcentral is "lncRNA (ENSJHYG00000017084.1)". The record is from RNAcentral. Lineage: Eukaryota; Metazoa; Chordata; Aves; Passeriformes; Passerellidae.
AAAGGAAUUUUUCACAAAUUUUGGAGAUUUUUGGGGUUUUUCUCCUCCCAUUCAUUCCAAACUUUUGCUGGCUCCAAUUUGGACUGGUCUGAACUGGUCUGGACUGGUCUGAACUGGUUUGAACUGGUUUUAUUGGUCUGAACUGGUUUGGACUGGUUUGAACUGGGACUGGCUCCCCAUUUGAUCCAAUAACAACAAGAAAAUAAAGGAAUUUUGCACAAAUUUUGGGAUUUUUCUCGUCCCAUUUAUUCCGACUUUCUGGAAGUUCCAGUUUGGACUGGUCUGAACUGGUUUGGACUGGUCUGAACUGGGAAUGACUCCAAGAAACAAGAAGAAAAUAAAGGAAUUUUUCACAAAUUUUUGAGUUUUUCCCCUUCCAUUUAUUCCAAAUUUCUGCUGGUUCCAGUUUGGACUGGUCUGAACUGGUUUUUACUGGUUUGGACUGGUUUAAAAUGGGAAUGACUCCAAGAAACAACAAGAAAAUAACAGAAUUUUAAACAGAUUUUGGAGAUUUUGGGGGUUUUUCUCCUCCCAUUUAUUCCAAACUUCUGCUGGUUCCAGUUUGGACUGGUCCGAACUGGUUUGUACUGGUUUUUGCCGUUUUUUGCUGUUUUUUGCCGUUUUUUGGCGCUCUCAGGAGUGCAGGAAUCGGUUGAAGGCGUUGUAGGCGGACUCGAGGUCGAAGAGCAUCUGGCGCACCU